RNAcentral lists this non-coding RNA (24 nucleotides) under Arabidopsis thaliana (thale cress). The record is from RNAcentral. Lineage: Eukaryota; Viridiplantae; Streptophyta; Magnoliopsida; Brassicales; Brassicaceae.
AUCGGAUAUCUGAGCAGCACAACA